This 253-nucleotide ribosomal RNA is filed under the name uncultured bacterium. RNAcentral describes it as "partial 16S ribosomal RNA". It matches the Rfam family "Bacterial small subunit ribosomal RNA", at positions 524 to 776 of the family's 1533-position model. The record is from RNAcentral.
UACGUAGGGUGCAAGCGUUGUUCGGAAUUACUGGGCGUAAAGGGCGCGUAGGCGGGCCCGUAUGUCGAUUGUGAAAGCCCUGGGCUCAACCCGGGAAUGGCAGUCGAAACUGCGGGUCUUGAGUGCCUGAGAGGAUGGCGGAAUUCCCGGUGUAGAAGUGAAAUUCGUAGAUAUCGGGAAGAACACCUGAGGCGAAGGCGGCUGUCUGGCGGUGCACUGACGCUGAGGCGCGAAAGCGUGGGGAGCAAACAGG